AUUGAACGCUGGCGGCAUGCUUUACACAUGCCAGUCGAAUGGUAACAGGCCGCAAGGUGCUGACGAGUGGCGAACGGGUGAGUAAUGCAUCGGAACGUGCCCAGUCGUGGGGGAUAACUACUCGCAAGAGUAGCUAAUACCGCAUACGAUCUAUGGAUGAAAGCGGGGGACCGUAAGGCCUCGCGCGAUUGGAGCGGCCGCUGUCAGAUUAGGUAGUUGGUGGGGUAAAGGCUCACCAAGCCAACGAUCUGUAGCUGGUCUGAGAGGACGACCAGCCACACUGGGACUGAGACACGGCCCAGACUCCUACGGGAGGCAGCAGUGGGGAAUUUUGGACAAUGGGCGCAAGCCUGAUCCAGCAAUGCCGCGUGCAGGAAGAAGGCCUUCGGGUUGUAAACUGCUUUUGUACGGAACGAAACGGCUCUGGUUAAUACCCGGGGCUAAUGACGGUACCGUAAGAAUAAGCACCGGCUAACUACGUG
This 482-nucleotide ribosomal RNA is filed under the name uncultured bacterium. RNAcentral's name for it is "partial 16S ribosomal RNA". It matches the Rfam family "Bacterial small subunit ribosomal RNA", at positions 30 to 507 of the family's 1533-position model. The record is from RNAcentral.